RNAcentral lists this ribosomal RNA (468 nucleotides) under uncultured bacterium. RNAcentral describes it as "partial 16S ribosomal RNA". It matches the Rfam family "Bacterial small subunit ribosomal RNA", at positions 28 to 507 of the family's 1533-position model. The record is from RNAcentral.
GACGAACGCUGGCGGCGUGCUUAACACAUGCAAGUCGAACGGAAAGGCCCUGCUUUUGUGGGGUGCUCGAGUGGCGAACGGGUGAGUAACACGUGAGUAACCUGCCCUUGACUUUGGGAUAACUUCAGGAAACUGGGGCUAAUACCGGAUAGGAGCUCCUGCUGCAUGGUGGGGGUUGGAAAGUUUCGGCGGUUGGGGAUGGACUCGCGGCUUAUCAGCUUGUUGGUGGGGUAGUGGCUUACCAAGGCUUUGACGGGUAGCCGGCCUGAGAGGGUGACCGGCCACAUUGGGACUGAGGUACGGCCCAGACGCCUACGGGAGGCAGCAGUGGGGAAUAUUGCACAAUGGGCGGACGCCUGAUGCAGCAACGCCGCGUGCGGGAUGACGGCCUUCGGGUUGUAAACCGCUUUCGCCUGUGACGAAGCGGGAGUGACGGUAAUGGGUAAAGAAGCACCGGCUAACUACGUG